AUCCUGGCUCAGGACGAACGCUGGCGGCGUGCCUAAUACAUGCAAGUCGAACGCGUCUCCGUUAAUGAUUUUAGGUGCUUGCACUUGAAAGAUUUAACAUUGAGACGAGUGGCGAACUGGUGAGUAACACGUGGGUAACCUGCCCUUGAAGUAGGGGAUAACACUUGGAAACAGGUGCUAAUACCGUAUAACAACCAAAACCACCUGGUUUUGGUUUAAAAGACGGCUUCGGCUGUCACUUUAGGAUGGACCCGCGGCGUAUUAGCUUGUUGGUAAGGUAACGGCCUACCAAGGCGAUGAUACGUAGCCGACCUGAGAGGGUAAUCGGCCACAUUGGGACUGAGACACGGCCCAAACUCCUACGGGAGGCAGCAGUAGGGAAUCUUCCACAAUGGACGAAAGUCUGAUGGAGCAACGCCGCGUGAGUGAUGAAGGGUUUCGGCUCGUAAAACUCUGUUGUUGGAGAAGAACAGGUGUCAGAGUAACUGUUGACAUCUUGACGGUAUCCAACCAGAAAGCCACGGCUAACUACGUGCCAGCAGCCGCGGUAAUACGUAGGUGGCAAGCGUUGUCCGGAUUUAUUGGGCGUAAAGCGAGCGCAGGCGGUUUUUUAGGUCUGAUGUGAAAGCCUUCGGCUUAACCGGAGAAGUGCAUCGGAAACCGGGAGACUUGAGUGCAGAAGAGGACAGUGGAACUCCAUGUGUAGCGGUGAAAUGCGUAGAUAUAUGGAAGAACACCAGUGGCGAAGGCGGCUGUCUGGUCUGUAACUGACGCUGAGGCUCGAAAG
RNAcentral lists this ribosomal RNA (787 nucleotides) under Lentilactobacillus buchneri. Its description in RNAcentral is "bacterial SSU rRNA". It matches the Rfam family "Bacterial small subunit ribosomal RNA", at positions 16 to 759 of the family's 1533-position model. The record is from RNAcentral. Lineage: Bacteria; Bacillati; Bacillota; Bacilli; Lactobacillales; Lactobacillaceae.